GACGAACGCUGGCGGCGUGCUUAACACAUGCAAGUCGAACGGAAAGGCCCUGCUUUUGUGGGGUGCUCGAGUGGCGAACGGGUGAGUAGCACGUGAGUAACCUGCCCUUGACUUUGGGAUAACUUCAGGAAACUGGGGCUAAUACCGGAUAGGAGCUCCUGCUGCAUGGUGGGGGUUGGAAAGUUUCGGCGGUUGGGGAUGGACCCGCGGCUUAUCAGCUUGUUGGUGGGGUAGUGGCUUACCAAGGCUUUGACGGGUAGCCGGCCUGAGAGGGUGACCGGCCACAUUGGGACUGAGAUACGGCCCAGACUCCUACGGGAGGCAGCAGUGGGGAAUAUUGCACAAUGGGCGGAAGCCUGAUGCAGCAACGCCGCGUGCGGGAUGACGGCCUUCGGGUUGUAAACCGCUUUCGCCUGUGACGAAGCGUGAGUGACGGUAAUGGGUAAAGAAGCACCGGCUAACUACGUG
RNAcentral lists this ribosomal RNA (468 nucleotides) under uncultured bacterium. RNAcentral describes it as "partial 16S ribosomal RNA". It matches the Rfam family "Bacterial small subunit ribosomal RNA", at positions 28 to 507 of the family's 1533-position model. The record is from RNAcentral.